Molecule: ribosomal RNA, 374 nt
Filed under: uncultured bacterium
Lineage: Bacteria
Description: bacterial SSU rRNA
Rfam family: Bacterial small subunit ribosomal RNA
Source: RNAcentral
AUACGUAGGGGGCAAGCGUUAUCCGGAAUUAUUGGGCGUAAAGAGUGCGUAGGUGGUUUUGUAAGCGCGGGGUGAAAGGCAAUAGCUCAACUAUUGUAAGCCCUGCGAACUGUGAGACUUGAGUGCAGGAGAGGAAAGCGGAAUUCCUAGUGUAGCGGUGAAAUGCGUAGAUAUUAGGAGGAACACCAGUGGCGAAGGCGGCUUUCUGGACUGUAACUGACACUGAGGCACGAAAGCGUGGGGAGCAAACAGGAUUAGAUACCCUGGUAGUCCACGCCGUAAACGAUGAGCACUAGGUGUCGGGGCCGCAAGGCUUCGGUGCCGCAGUUAACGCAUUAAGUGCUCCGCCUGGGGAGUACGCACGCAAGUGUGAA